CAGCAGCCGCGGGAAUACGGAGGGUGCAAGCGUUAAUCGGAAUUACUGGGCGUAAAGCGCACGCAGGCGGUCUGUCAAGUCAGAUGUGAAAUCCCCGGGCUUAACCUGGGAACUGCAUUUGAAACUGGCAGGCUAGAGUCUUGUAGAGGGGGGUAGAAUUCCAGGUGUAGCGGUGAAAUGCGUAGAGAUCUGGAGGAAUACCGGUGGCGAAGGCGGCCCCCUGGACAAAGACUGACGCUCAUGCACGAAAGCGUGGGGAGCAAACAGGAUUAGAUACCCCGGUAGUCCCUGUCUCUUAUAC
Molecule: ribosomal RNA, 301 nt
Filed under: uncultured bacterium
Lineage: Bacteria
Description: partial 16S ribosomal RNA
Rfam family: Bacterial small subunit ribosomal RNA
Source: RNAcentral